UCUGGAGUCGCUAGUAUUAUGUCUUCAUUAAAUUUUAUUACUACAG
This 46-nucleotide small RNA is filed under the name Plasmodium falciparum 3D7. Its description in RNAcentral is "Pfa-mtR6488". Lineage: Eukaryota; Apicomplexa; Aconoidasida; Haemosporida; Plasmodiidae. The record is from RNAcentral.